Molecule: ribosomal RNA, 878 nt
Filed under: uncultured beta proteobacterium
Lineage: Bacteria; Pseudomonadati; Pseudomonadota; Betaproteobacteria
Description: bacterial SSU rRNA
Rfam family: Bacterial small subunit ribosomal RNA
Source: RNAcentral
CUAACACAUGCAAGUCGAACGGUAACAGGAAGAAGCUUGCUUCUUUGCUGACGAGUGGCGGACGGGUGAGUAAUGUCUGGGAAACUGCCUGAUGGAGGGGGAUAACUACUGGAAACGGUAGCUAAUACCGCAUAACGUCGCAAGACCAAAGAGGGGGACCUUCGGGCCUCUUGCCAUCGGAUGUGCCCAGAUGGGAUUAGCUAGUAGGUGGGGUAACGGCUCACCUAGGCGACGAUCCCUAGCUGGUCUGAGAGGAUGACCAGCCACACUGGAACUGAGACACGGUCCAGACUCCUACGGGAGGCAGCAGUGGGGAAUUUUGGACAAUGGGGGCAACCCUGAUCCAGCAAUGCCGCGUGUGUGAAGAAGGCCUUCGGGUUGUAAAGCACUUUUGUCCGGAAAGAAAACGCCGUGGUUAAUACCCGUGGCGGAUGACGGUACCGGAAGAAUAAGCACCGGCUAACUACGUGCCAGCAGCCGCGGUAAUACGUAGGGUGCAAGCGUUAAUCGGAAUUACUGGGCGUAAAGCGUGCGCAGGCGGUCCGCUAAGACAGAUGUGAAAUCCCCGGGCUUAACCUGGGAACUGCAUUUGUGACUGGCGGGCUAGAGUAUGGCAGAGGGGGGUAGAAUUCCACGUGUAGCAGUGAAAUGCGUAGAGAUGUGGAGGAAUACCGAUGGCGAAGGCAGCCCCCUGGGCCAAUACUGACGCUCAUGCACGAAAGCGUGGGGAGCAAACAGGAUUAGAUACCCUGGUAGUCCACGCCCUAAACGAUGUCAACUAGUUGUCGGGUCUUCAUUGACUUGGUAACGUAGCUAACGCGUGAAGUUGACCGCCUGGGGAGUACGGUCGCAAGAUUAAAACUCAAAGGAAUUGACGG